GACGAACGCUGGCGGCGUGCUUAACACAUGCAAGUCGAACGCUGAAGCUUGGUGCUUGCACUGGGUGGAAGAGUGGCGAACGGGUGAGUAAUACGUGAGUAACCUGCCCUUGACUCUGGGAUAAGCCUGGGAAACUGGGUCUAAUACUGGAUACGACAUGUCACCGCAUGGUGGUGUGUGGAAAGGGUUUUACUGGUUUUGGAUGGGCUCACGGCCUAUCAGCUUGUUGGUGGGGUAAUGGCUCACCAAGGCGACGACGGGUAGCCGGCCUGAGAGGGUGACCGGCCACACUGGGACUGAGACACGGCCCAGACUCCUACGGGAGGCAGCAGUGGGGAAUAUUGCACAAUGGGCGAAAGCCUGAUGCAGCGACGCCGCGUGAGGGAUGACGGCCUUCGGGUUGUAAACCUCUUUCAGCACGGAAGAAGCGAAAGUGACGGUACGUGCAGAAGAAGCGCCGGCUAACUACGUG
This 472-nucleotide ribosomal RNA is filed under the name uncultured bacterium. RNAcentral describes it as "partial 16S ribosomal RNA". It matches the Rfam family "Bacterial small subunit ribosomal RNA", at positions 28 to 507 of the family's 1533-position model. The record is from RNAcentral.